Molecule: transfer-messenger RNA, 362 nt
Filed under: Planctomycetaceae bacterium
Lineage: Bacteria; Pseudomonadati; Planctomycetota; Planctomycetia; Planctomycetales; Planctomycetaceae
Rfam family: transfer-messenger RNA
About the family: Bacterial tmRNA, also known as 10Sa RNA or SsrA, is named for its dual tRNA and mRNA-like properties. Its role is to liberate the mRNA from a stalled ribosome.
Source: RNAcentral
GGGGGCGAAUUGGGUUCGACCGGGCAAGUGAAGUUUAAGUUGCGUGUCGUGGUUGGUCAGCGGGCCACGUUAAAAGCCGACUAAUAAAUUCAAAUGCCGAACCUAAAUUGGCAUUGGCUGCCUAAGAAAAGGCAACCCCGAAUCCAUACUGUCGCCGAAAUAGUGUGACAUUCGGACGUAAUUUCGGAUCGUUUCCGUUCAUGUCGAUUACAACGGAAAUUAAAAAAUGUUGUCGAAUCGUUUGAGAAAGACCGUUGCCGAUAAGGGCUCGAUCAGACUAAAAAACAAAAAAUCGGAUACACACGUAGAUGCUUAUUCGGAACUGUUUCGGGACGCGGGUUCAAUUCCCGCCGCCUCCAGUU